Molecule: ribosomal RNA, 503 nt
Filed under: Odontonia rufopunctata
Lineage: Eukaryota; Metazoa; Arthropoda; Malacostraca; Decapoda; Palaemonidae
Description: partial 16S ribosomal RNA
Rfam family: Bacterial large subunit ribosomal RNA
Source: RNAcentral
GUCUGUAUGAAUCUAAAUUUACAGUCUAGCCUGCUCACUGAAUUUUAAAGGGCCGCGGUAAUUUGACCGUGCGAAGGUAGCAUAGUCAUUAGUCUUUUAACUGAAGGCUUGUAUGAUUGGUUGGAUGAAGAAUUCGCUGUCUUUUUGUUAUUUUGAAUUUGACUUUUAAGUGAAAAGGCUUAAAUUAACUAGUGGGACGAUAAGACCCUAUAAAACUUUUGUAUAAAUAAAUUAUAAGAGGAUUAAGUUUAAGUUUAUCAAAAUUAUAUUAUAUUUCGUUGGGGAGAUGCUUAUAUAAUUUAAAACUGUAUAAUAAAUUAAAUAAUUAUAGUUAGAUUUUGAUCUUUUAUUAAAGAUUAAUAGGUUAAGUUAAUUUAGGGAUAACAGCGUUAUUUUCUCUGAGAGUUCUUAUCGACGAGAGUAGUUGCGACCUCUAUGUUGAAUUAAAAUUUUAGGGAGGUGUAGUGGUUUCUCUGAUAGGUCUGUUUGACCUUUAAAAUUUU